This 386-nucleotide ribosomal RNA is filed under the name uncultured methanogenic archaeon. Its description in RNAcentral is "bacterial SSU rRNA". It matches the Rfam family "Archaeal small subunit ribosomal RNA", at positions 40 to 437 of the family's 1478-position model. The record is from RNAcentral. Lineage: Archaea; Methanobacteriati; Methanobacteriota.
UCGAUUAGCAUGCGAGUCGAGAGGUGCAAGACCUCGGCGCACUGCUCAGUAACACGUGGACAACCUACCCUGUGGAGGGGGAUAACCCCGGAAAACUGGGGAUAAUACCCCAUAGGUUAGGGUGGCUGGAAUGCCCCCUAGCUCAAAGGUCCGCCGCCACAGGAUGGGUCUGCGGCCGAUUAGGUUGUUGUUGGGGUAACGGCCCAACAAGCCUUUGAUCGGUACGGGUUGUGGGAGCAAGAGCCCGGAGAUGGAUUCUGAGACACGAAUCCAGGCCCUACGGGGCGCAGCAGGCGCGAAAACUUUACAAUGCGAGAAAUCGUGAUAAGGGAACCCCGAGUGCCCGUAAAUUCGGGCUGUCCGCCAGUGCAAAAAACUGGUGAAGA